Schistosoma margrebowiei is the source of this 46-nucleotide non-coding RNA. NCBI's taxonomy places the organism in Eukaryota, Metazoa, Platyhelminthes, Trematoda, Strigeidida, Schistosomatidae. The record is from Rfam.
GCACUGUUGAGGAGUCCCAUACUAGGACGAAAUGGACAUCCAGUGC